GACGAACGCUGGCGGCGUGCUUAACACAUGCAAGUCGAACGGAAAGGCCCUGCUUUUGUGGGGUGCUCGAGUGGCGAACGGGUGAGUAACACGUGAGUAACCUGCCCUUGACUUUGGGAUAACUUCAGGAAACUGGGGCUAAUACCGGAUAUGAGCUCCUGCUGCAUGGUGGGGGUUGGAAAGUUUCGGCGGUUGGGGAUGGACUCGCGGCUUAUCAGCUUGUUGGUGGGGUAGUGGCUUACCAAGGCUUUGACGGGUAGCCGGCCUGAGAGGGUGACCGGGCACAUGGGGACUGAGAUACGGCACAGACUCCUACGGGAGGCAGCAGUGGGGAAUAUUGCACAAUGGGCGGACGCCGGGUGCAGCAACGCCGCGUGCGGGAUGACGGCCUUCGGGUUGUACACCGCUUUCGCCUGUGACGAAGCGUGAGUGACGGUAAUGGGUGAAGAGGCACCGGCUACCUACGU
RNAcentral lists this ribosomal RNA (467 nucleotides) under uncultured bacterium. RNAcentral describes it as "partial 16S ribosomal RNA". It matches the Rfam family "Bacterial small subunit ribosomal RNA", at positions 28 to 506 of the family's 1533-position model. The record is from RNAcentral.